GUUAUUCGAGGUGGAAGAUUUCGUCCACGUCCACACGCCGAUGGUACUGACAGGGGAAUCCCGAGAGAUGCAGGAGAAUGGGACGCCUGCCGAAUAAC
This 98-nucleotide non-coding RNA is filed under the name unclassified sequences. RNAcentral describes it as "skipping-rope RNA". It matches the Rfam family "skipping-rope RNA". From Rfam's summary of the family: Firmicutes, Fusobacteria, AlphaProteobacteria, Spirochaetes. The record is from Rfam by way of RNAcentral.